UCCUUACAAGGAUUUUAUCUCCAGAAUCACAACUCAAACAAUUCAUUCGUCACAUUAUUCCCUUUUUAUAAGGAUUCUGUCCCCAGAAUCAAAGACACAGAUUAACCAAAUAACUCAGGAUAGCUCUUCAUCAUUUUUCUUCGAGUUCCCACAUAGCUUCUUCGGCAUUGUGGUUCAUCCAUAUCACCUUUACUGAAGGUAUUACUUUAUUCCUUUGCACUUGUUCUUUC
Molecule: long non-coding RNA, 230 nt
Filed under: Panax ginseng (ginseng)
Lineage: Eukaryota; Viridiplantae; Streptophyta; Magnoliopsida; Apiales; Araliaceae
Description: long non-coding RNA (PGIN_LNC000708)
Source: RNAcentral